Molecule: ribosomal RNA, 459 nt
Filed under: uncultured prokaryote
Description: partial 16S ribosomal RNA
Source: RNAcentral
CCCUAUGGGGUGCAUCAGCAGGUGGUUGGUUUUAUCGUACUCCAACCCAAUAACCUGCGAAACUCUAGCGCUAUCAGGAACAGCUGAAACCCCGGCAUUUCCGAUUAGCGGGUUAAUUUUUUGCCCCUCCUUCAGGAAAAGGUUGAUAAUUUUAACAAACAUUACCCCACCAAAAGUAGCCACUAUAAACGAAAUAGCUCCAAGCACAAAAAUUUCGAACGAUUUAGCUGUUAGAAAAGUAGUUGCCUGGGUAGAAGCUCCUACUGUUAGCCCAAUUAAGAUGGUAACAAUAUCAAUAAGGGGUCCUCUGGCCGUUUCGGCAAGCCUUUUGGUUACUGUGCUUUCCUUAAGCAGGUUCCCAAAGAAGAGCAUUCCCAAAAGCGGCAGCCCCGAAGGAACUAUGAAGGCAGUGAGAAGAAUUCCCACAAUUGGGAACAAGAUUUUCUCAAGCUUGGUAAC